AUUGAACGCUGGCGGCAGGCCUAACACAUGCAAGUCGAGCGGAUGAAGGGAGCUUGCUCCUGGAUUCAGCGGCGGACGGGUGAGUAAUGCCUAGGAAUCUGCCUGGUAGUGGGGGAUAACGUCCGGAAACGGGCGCUAAUACCGCAUACGUCCUUAUGGAGAACGUGGGGGAUCUUCGGACCUCACGCUAUCAGAUGAGCCUAGGUCGGAUUAGCUAGUUGGUGGGGUAAAGGCCUACCAAGGCGACGAUCCGUAACUGGUCUGAGAGGAUGAUCAGUCACACUGGAACUGAGACACGGUCCAGACUCCUACGGGAGGCAGCAGUAGGGAAUAUUGGACAAUGGGCGAAAGCCUGAUCCAGCCAUGCCGCGUGUGUGAAGAAGGUCUUCGGAUUGUAAAGCACUUUAAGUUGGGAGGAAGGGCAGUAAGUUAAUACCUUGCUGUUUUGACGUUACCAACAGAAUAAGCACCGGCUAACUUCGUG
RNAcentral lists this ribosomal RNA (484 nucleotides) under uncultured bacterium. RNAcentral's name for it is "partial 16S ribosomal RNA". It matches the Rfam family "Bacterial small subunit ribosomal RNA", at positions 30 to 507 of the family's 1533-position model. The record is from RNAcentral.